RNAcentral lists this transfer RNA (72 nucleotides) under Danionella translucida. It matches the Rfam family "tRNA". From Rfam's summary of the family: Transfer RNA (tRNA) molecules are approximately 80 nucleotides in length. The record is from Rfam by way of RNAcentral. RNAcentral also lists the same sequence under 1 other name. Lineage: Eukaryota; Metazoa; Chordata; Actinopteri; Cypriniformes; Danionidae.
GGUUUUAUGGUGUAAUGGUUAGCACGCUGUACUCUGAAUCCAGCAAUCUGAGUUCAAAUCUCGGUAGGACCU